This 717-nucleotide ribosomal RNA is filed under the name Salmonella enterica. Its description in RNAcentral is "partial 23S ribosomal RNA". It matches the Rfam family "Bacterial large subunit ribosomal RNA", at positions 2086 to 2802 of the family's 2925-position model. The record is from RNAcentral. Lineage: Bacteria; Pseudomonadati; Pseudomonadota; Gammaproteobacteria; Enterobacterales; Enterobacteriaceae.
AGACCCCGUGAACCUUUACUAUAGCUUGACACUGAACAUUGAGCCUUGAUGUGUAGGAUAGGUGGGAGGCUUUGAAGCGUGGACGCCAGUCUGCGUGGAGCCGACCUUGAAAUACCACCCUUUAAUGUUUGAUGUUCUAACGUGGACCCGUGAUCCGGGUUGCGGACAGUGUCUGGUGGGUAGUUUGACUGGGGCGGUCUCCUCCUAAAGAGUAACGGAGGAGCACGAAGGUUGGCUAAUCCUGGUCGGACAUCAGGAGGUUAGUGCAAUGGCAUAAGCCAGCUUGACUGCGAGCGUGACGGCGCGAGCAGGUGCGAAAGCAGGUCAUAGUGAUCCGGUGGUUCUGAAUGGAAGGGCCAUCGCUCAACGGAUAAAAGGUACUCCGGGGAUAACAGGCUGAUACCGCCCAAGAGUUCAUAUCGACGGCGGUGUUUGGCACCUCGAUGUCGGCUCAUCACAUCCUGGGGCUGAAGUAGGUCCCAAGGGUAUGGCUGUUCGCCAUUUAAAGUGGUACGCGAGCUGGGUUUAGAACGUCGUGAGACAGUUCGGUCCCUAUCUGCCGUGGGCGCUGGAGAACUGAGGGGGGCUGCUCCUAGUACGAGAGGACCGGAGUGGACGCAUCACUGGUGUUCGGGUUGUCAUGCCAAUGGCACUGCCCGGUAGCUAAAUGCGGAAGAGAUAAGUGCUGAAAGCAUCUAAGCACGAAACUUGCCCCGA